AUCCAGAUGACGAGUUCCGAAUAGGACUAAAUGCUCAUCCUGGAU
Schistosoma rodhaini is the source of this 45-nucleotide non-coding RNA. Lineage: Eukaryota; Metazoa; Platyhelminthes; Trematoda; Strigeidida; Schistosomatidae. The record is from Rfam.